AAGGGAAGGGAAUUGGCGGGAAAUAAGGAAGAGCAGGAAGACGGUGAACCAUUCGUCCUCGAUGUUAUCGCCAAAGCGAAGCUUGCCAUGGAGGUGGGGGAGAGGAGACUUGGAGGAGCAGAGGCAAGAAGGAGAUAAGAAAGAGGAGAUGGAGAGAGAGAAGGGUUCGUGUUGCCAGAUAUAAAAGGAAGAGUACGGCGAGAGGAAGUGAAGGAUUUCGAGGUGAAGGGAUUGGAGAGCAAGGGAAGGAGAGGAAGAAGAAUAGAAGGAAUUGGAGAGAGAGGAGUCUGGAAAGAUUGCGAAAAAAA
This 308-nucleotide unclassified non-coding RNA is filed under the name Hevea brasiliensis (rubber tree). Lineage: Eukaryota; Viridiplantae; Streptophyta; Magnoliopsida; Malpighiales; Euphorbiaceae. The record is from RNAcentral.